ACCCGCACAAGCAGCGGAGCGUGUGGUUUAAUUCGUUGCUACACGAAGAACCCUACAGGGUUUGACAUGCAAGUGGUAGGAAGCCGAAAGGUGACCGACCCUUCGGGGAGCUUGCACAGGUGCUGCAUGGCUGUCGUCAGCUCGUGUCGUGAGAUGUUCGGUUAAGUCCGCUAACGAGCGCAACCCUCGCUGUGUGUUAUAUGUGUCACACGGGACUGCCGGUCUUAAGCCGGAGGAAGGUGGGGAUGAUGUCAAGUCAGCAUGGCCUUUAUAUCCUGGGCUACACACACGCUACAAUGGCCAACACAAUAGGUUGCUAAGCCGCGAGGUGGCGCCAAUCCAUAAAGUUGGUCUCAGUUCAGAUUGUAGGCUGCAACCCGCCUGCAUGAAGAUGGAGUUGCUAGUAACCGCAGGUCAGCUAUACUGCGGUGAAUACGUUCCCGGGGCUU
RNAcentral lists this ribosomal RNA (449 nucleotides) under uncultured Leptolinea sp. RNAcentral's name for it is "bacterial SSU rRNA". It matches the Rfam family "Bacterial small subunit ribosomal RNA", at positions 919 to 1382 of the family's 1533-position model. Lineage: Bacteria; Bacillati; Chloroflexota; Anaerolineae; Anaerolineales; Anaerolineaceae. The record is from RNAcentral.